RNAcentral lists this small RNA (1125 nucleotides) under Pleosporales sp. 1 MU-2012. RNAcentral's name for it is "eukaryotic LSU rRNA". The stretch from base 356 to 1125 matches the Rfam family "Eukaryotic large subunit ribosomal RNA", at positions 1 to 804 of the family's 3401-position model. Lineage: Eukaryota; Fungi; Ascomycota; Dothideomycetes; Pleosporales. The record is from RNAcentral.
UCUUACCCAUGUCUUUUGAGUACCUUCGUUUCCUCGGCGGGUCCGCCCGCCGGUUGGACAACAUUCAAACCCUUUGCAGUUGCAAUCAGCGUCUGAAAAAACUUAAUAGUUACAACUUUCAACAACGGAUCUCUUGGUUCUGGCAUCGAUGAAGAACGCAGCGAAAUGCGAUAAGUAGUGUGAAUUGCAGAAUUCAGUGAAUCAUCGAAUCUUUGAACGCACAUUGCGCCCCUUGGUAUUCCAUGGGGCAUGCCUGUUCGAGCGUCAUUUGUACCUUCAAGCUCUGCUUGGUGUUGGGUGUUUUGUCUCGCCUCCGCGCGCAGACUCGCCUUAAAACAAUUGGCAGCCGGCGUAUUGAUUUCGGAGCGCAGUACAUCUCGCGCUUUGCACUCAUAACGACGACGUCCAAAAGUACAUUUUUACACUCCGGCGAGUGAAGCGGCAAGAGCUCAAAUUUGAAAGCUGACUCCUUCGGGGUCCGCAUUGUAAUUUGCAGAGGAUGCUUCGGGAGCGGUCCCCAUCUAAGUGCCCUGGAACGGGACGUCAUAGAGGGUGAGAAUCCCGUAUGGGAUGGGGUGUCCGCGCCCGUGUGAAGCUCCUUCGACGAGUCGAGUUGUUUGGGAAUGCAGCUCUAAAUGGGUGGUAAAUUUCAUCUAAAGCUAAAUAUUGGCCGGAGACCGAUAGCGCACAAGUAGAGUGAUCGAAAGAUGAAAAGCACUUUGAAAAGAGAGUUAAAAAGCACGUGAAAUUGUUGAAAGGGAAGCGCUUGCGACCAGACUCGCUCGCGGGGUUCAGCCGGCAUUCGUGCCGGUGUACUUCCCCGCGAGCGGGCCAGCGUCGGUUUGGGCGGUCGGUCAAAGGCCCUCGGAAGGUAACGCCCCUAGGGGCGUCUUAUAGCCGAGGGUGCAAUGCGACCUGCCUAGACCGAGGAACGCGCUUCGGCUCGGACGCUGGCAUAAUGGUCGUAAGCGACCCGUCUUGAAACACGGACCAAGGAGUCUAACAUCUACGCGAGUGUUCGGGUGUCAAACCCGUGCGCGCAGUGAAAGCGAACGGAGGUGGGAACCCUUUGGGUGCACCAUCGACCGAUCCUGAUGUCUUCGGAUGGAUUUGAGUAAGAGCGUA